Molecule: small nuclear RNA, 104 nt
Filed under: Jaculus jaculus (lesser Egyptian jerboa)
Lineage: Eukaryota; Metazoa; Chordata; Mammalia; Rodentia; Dipodidae
Source: RNAcentral
GUGCUCGCUCCCGCAGCACCUAUACUAAAAUUGGAAUGAUACAGAGAUUAGCAUGGCCCCUGCGCAAGGAUGACACACAAAUUUGUGAAGUGUUCCAUAUUUUU